GAGGUGUAACUUUCUCCAUGCAGUCGACGGCAGCACGGACUUCGGUCUGGUGGCGAGUGGCGAACGGGUGAGUAAUGUAUCGGAACGUGCCCAGUAGCGGGGGAUAACUACGCGAAAGCGUAGCUAAUACCGCAUACGCCCUACGGGGGAAAGCAGGGGAUCGCAAGACCUUGCACUAUUGGAGCGGCCGAUAUCGGAUUAGCUAGUUGGUGGGGUAACGGCUCACCAAGGCGACGAUCCGUAGCUGGUUUGAGAGGACGACCAGCCACACUGGGACUGAGACACGGCCCAGACUCCUACGGGAGGCAGCAGUGGGGAAUUUUGGACAAUGGGGGAAACCCUGAUCCAGCCAUCCCGCGUGUGCGAUGAAGGCCUUCGGGUUGUAAAGCACUUUUGGCAGGAAAGAAACGUCGCGGGUUAAUACCCCGCGAAACUGACGGUACCUGCAGAAUAAGCACCGGCUAACUACGUGCCAGCAGCCGCGGUAAUACGUAGGGUGCAAGCGUUAAUCGGAAUUACUGGGCGUAAAGCGUGCGCAGGCGUUCGGAAAGAAAGAUGUAAAUCCAGAGCUUAACUUGGACUGCAUUUUAACUCCGGCUAAGUGUGCAAGGAGUGAAUUCCGCGUGAGCAUGAUGCUAAUUCCGAGAACCCAUGCGAAGGAGCUCUGGAAACUGACGUCAGCCGAGCUGGGAGCAACGGUUAUCGGGUGAUCAA
Molecule: ribosomal RNA, 714 nt
Filed under: Achromobacter sp. enrichment culture clone MHF ENV IV
Lineage: Bacteria; Pseudomonadati; Pseudomonadota; Betaproteobacteria; Burkholderiales; Alcaligenaceae
Description: bacterial SSU rRNA
Rfam family: Bacterial small subunit ribosomal RNA
Source: RNAcentral